Molecule: non-coding RNA, 75 nt
Organism: Orbilia ellipsospora
Lineage: Eukaryota; Fungi; Ascomycota; Orbiliomycetes; Orbiliales; Orbiliaceae
Source: the annotation of a GenBank genome assembly
GGUCUUGAGGUGCAAUCGGUGCACGCUUGCCCCCUUCAGUGGGGGGAGAAGACGGUUCGAUUCCGUCCGUGACCU